CACAUGAAAAGUCUUACGGAUAGACAAACUUCCAUUCAAGCCAAUGUCAAGUUUUCAUUGCAAGAAAGUAGCAGCCGUGUUUAAGAGUUCGCUCCAAAUGCUCAUCUUCUUCUUCGGCCCUGGAUGUCAGACAAACAGGACAAACAGGAAACAAAAUUAUUUUUCUUCGUGGAGGGCAGAGCAGCACUCCCCCGUCGCCCAGUAUUUGGAUCCCCAGCGGGAAUGGGGAGCACCAGGCCAGUGGGAGGCUGCCCCGGCCCUCCCGCGACCUCUGGAUUGAACUUUCCGCACACUUCUCGGCCCCUCGGCAGGUGGCCCAGCCUCGACCCGACCCCACUGCCCACUCACUGCUU
Molecule: long non-coding RNA, 353 nt
Filed under: Homo sapiens (human)
Lineage: Eukaryota; Metazoa; Chordata; Mammalia; Primates; Hominidae
Description: non-protein coding lnc-WDPCP-1:17
Source: RNAcentral